UUAGGUGUAUAUAGCUUAAUAGAGGAAGUAGGGUGUAAAUCCCUCACAGUGAAAACUGCUGUAAGGUGGACGAAAUCACAAAAUGCCACUGGGAAACUGGGAAGGUGUGAAAGUAGGAUGAAGCUAAGUCAGAAGACUUACCAAUUUUAU
Molecule: non-coding RNA, 150 nt
Filed under: uncultured Fusobacterium sp.
Lineage: Bacteria; Fusobacteriati; Fusobacteriota; Fusobacteriia; Fusobacteriales; Fusobacteriaceae
Source: RNAcentral